This 460-nucleotide ribosomal RNA is filed under the name uncultured bacterium. RNAcentral describes it as "partial 16S ribosomal RNA". It matches the Rfam family "Bacterial small subunit ribosomal RNA", at positions 338 to 795 of the family's 1533-position model. The record is from RNAcentral.
CCUACGGGUGGCUGCAGUGAGGAAUAUUGGUCAAUGGGCGCGAGCCUGAACCAGCCAAGUAGCGUGAAGGAUGACUGCCCUACGGGUUGUAAACUUCUUUUAUAAAGGAAUAAAGUGAGGCACGUGUGCCUUUUUGUAUGUACUUUAUGAAUAAGGAUCGGCUAACUCCGUGCCAGCAGCCGCGGUAAUACGGAGGAUCCGAGCGUUAUCCGGAUUUAUUGGGUUUAAAGGGAGCGUAGAUGGGUUGUUAAGUCAGUUGUGAAAGUUUGCGGAUCAACCGUAAAAUUGCAAUUGAUACUGGCAGGCUUGAGGACAGUUGAGGUAGGCGGAAUGCGUGGUGUAGCGGUGAAAGGCUGAGAUAUCACGAAGAACACCGAUUGCGAAGGCAGCUUACUAAACUGCCACUGACAUUGAUGCUCGAAAGUGUGGGUAUCAAACAGGAUGAGAGACCCGAGUAGUC